AAGAAAGUGACAAGGAGAGGAAGAAGAAGAAAAAAA
RNAcentral lists this small RNA (36 nucleotides) under Arabidopsis thaliana (thale cress). RNAcentral's name for it is "ATSL301940". The record is from RNAcentral. Lineage: Eukaryota; Viridiplantae; Streptophyta; Magnoliopsida; Brassicales; Brassicaceae.